This 513-nucleotide ribosomal RNA is filed under the name uncultured bacterium. RNAcentral's name for it is "partial 16S ribosomal RNA". It matches the Rfam family "Bacterial small subunit ribosomal RNA", at positions 28 to 523 of the family's 1533-position model. The record is from RNAcentral.
GACGAACGCUGGCGGCAUGCCUAAUACAUGCAAGUCGAGCGAACGGAUGAAGUGCUUGCACUUCUGACGUUAGCGGCGAACGGGUGAGUAACACGUAAGGAAUCUACCUAUAAGCGGGGGAUAACAUUCGGAAACGGGUGCUAAUACCGCAUAAUAUCUUCUUCCGCAUGGAAGAAGAUUGAAAGACGGCUCUGCUGUCACUUAUAGAUGACCUUGCGGUGCAUUAGUUAGUUGGUGGGGUAAUGGCCUACCAAGACGAUGAUGCAUAGCCGACCUGAGAGGGUGAUCGGCCACAUUGGGACUGAGACACGGCCCAAACUCCUACGGGAGUCAGCAGUAGGGAAUCUUCCGCAAUGGGCGAAAGCCUGACGGAGCAAUGCCGCGUGAGUGAAGAAGGCCUUCGGGUCGUAAAACUCUGUCAUAAGAGAAGAACAAAUUGUAGAGUAACUGCUACAGUCUUGACGGUAUCUUAUCAGAAAGCCACGGCUAACUAUGUGCCAGCCGCCGCGGUAA